RNAcentral lists this ribosomal RNA (308 nucleotides) under uncultured bacterium. RNAcentral describes it as "partial 16S ribosomal RNA". It matches the Rfam family "Bacterial small subunit ribosomal RNA", at positions 505 to 807 of the family's 1533-position model. The record is from RNAcentral.
GAGACAGCAGUCGCCGCGGUAAUACGUAGGUGGCAAGCGUUGUCCGGAAUUAUUGGGCGUAAAGGGCUCGCAGGCGGUUUCUUAAGUCUGAUGUGAAAGCCCCCGGCUCAACCGGGGAGGGUCAUUGGAAACUGGGAAACUUGAGUGCAGAAGAGGAGAGUGGAAUUCCACGUGUAGCGGUGAAAUGCGUAGAGAUGUGGAGGAACGCCAGUGGCGAAGGCGACUCUCUGGUCUGUAACUGACGCUGAGGAGCGAAAGCGUGGGGAGCGAACAGGAUUAGAUACCCCUGUAGUCCCUGUCUCUUAUAC